Molecule: long non-coding RNA, 519 nt
Filed under: Elaeis guineensis (African oil palm)
Lineage: Eukaryota; Viridiplantae; Streptophyta; Magnoliopsida; Arecales; Arecaceae
Description: long non-coding RNA (EGUI_LNC004516)
Source: RNAcentral
UCUGGAAGAUGGGUUGCAGUGGAUUAAUUAACUUGUUUCAGCAACAAUUUGAUAGUGGCUCGUAGACCACGCUCAACAGAAAAUCAAAGAAACUUGAUAGAUUCCACCAAUGAUUGAUCGAGGAUUAAGAGUGAGAUGCCCAGAAGGAAUAGGGGAGAGCCCUUUAUAGGCCAAGUCUUGGGCUUUGGCAAGCCCUAUACUUCCUAAUGCCUGACAAAAUUAGGGAAGAAGACAAACUCCUUCUAAAAGUCCACUUCCUUCGUCUCAUGUACAAGCCACAUGAGAUGGAGUUUUAUGGUCUCGCACUAAGAUUCCUGUGUGUUAAGAUUCAUAGUGGCUCAUGGAUCGGUCAAUAGACCCGUCCCUUACAAUUGUGGAAUAUUAUCUUGUUAUAACAUCAGUAUAACAAUCAAUAUUUCAAUAUUUAUGUUAAUAAACCAAAUAUAAAAAUUACUUUUUGAGAUACAUGGUGAUAGUUAUAAUCAUUAUAUUGGUGAUCAAUAAUACUUUUGAUGGGCA